GCUGGGCACAGUGUCUGCGCCUGUAAUCCCAGUGGCUCGGGAGGCUGAGGCAGGAGGAUCGCAAGUUCAAAACCAGCCUUGGCAACGGCGAGGUGCUAAGCAACUCAGUGAGACCCUGUCUCUA
This 124-nucleotide small RNA is filed under the name Marmota monax (woodchuck). The record is from RNAcentral. Lineage: Eukaryota; Metazoa; Chordata; Mammalia; Rodentia; Sciuridae.